Molecule: transfer RNA, 69 nt
Filed under: Callopistes maculatus
Lineage: Eukaryota; Metazoa; Chordata; Lepidosauria; Squamata; Teiidae
Description: tRNA-Gly
Source: RNAcentral
ACUUUUCUAGUAUAAAUAUUACAAAUGACUUCCAAUCAUAAAAUCUCGCUUCUUUGACGAGGAAAAGUA